CACUACAAGGGACAAGCAUGCAUGGUUGGUUAAGGUCUCAAGACAAUGGAGAUGCCACUACAAGAGACAAGCAUGCAUGGUGGGUUAAGGUCUCAAGACAAUGGAGAUGCCACUACAAGGGAUAAGCAUGCAUGGUGGGUUAAGGUUUCAAGACAAUGGAUUAUUAGUUUAUCAUAUCUCAUCUACCAUUUGCCAUACUUGUAACCCUUAUAUAUAUAGGAUGUUCCCAUAAGCAAAUCAAUCAAGCAAAUAAGAUUCUCUUUCUUUACUCUAUCUCUCUCUUUACUUUCUAGAUUAAACAUCUCUCUCUCUCUUGUUCUUCACUAUGUUCUUCAAUUUCUAACAUGGUAUCAGAGCCUCCAAGCUCUUGAACACCAAACUGCUUCCGCAAAUUUACUGUAUUCACCUUACUCUUUCACUUGUUUGGUUUACUUUCUUCAUUUCUAGAGAACAUAUCUUGGCUUCCCUUGUUUUCUCUCUUGUCUAGCCUCAGAAAUUCAAAUUUCUUCUUGGCGAAUUUUUUACUUUUUUUACCCGCUGGACAAUAGCAAGCAAAGAUGGAACAGCACAAGCUAGUGAGGAUUCCAGUCAUCCUGAAAGGUCCUAACUACAUUACCUGGUCGAGAUUGACCAGGACAGCUCUUGGAGGAAGAGGUCUAUGGGAGCACAUCACUACAAGUGAGGCCCCAAGACAAAUGCAUGGAAGCUGCUGGGAGUCCAGAACUUGCUAACUUCUUUCGUUUCUUGAGUUUCUUAAUCUACAAGGUUAUACCAAGAGGAUGAAGUUUUGUACAGAUAAAUUGUUUAAGGUUUUCAGAGAGUUCAUCGAUAUUAAAACUGCGGACAAAUCACUGAGGAAUGAUCCAAAAUUUGCUUCCAACCGCGAUUUUUUGGAUGCACUUCUCGAUCUCACCGUAGGGGAAGAAGCAGAACUCGACUAAAAUGAUAUUGAACACCUUCUCUUGGAUAUGUUUGUAGGAGGCACGGACACAAACUCUAGUACCCUAGAAUGGGCAAUGGCAGAGUUACUUACUAACCCUACAACGAUGGCGAAAGCUCAGACCGAGAUCAAACAAAUGCUAGGCCUAAACGGGUUUGUUCAAGAGCCUGAUAUCUCAGAAUUGCCAUAUAUACAAGCAAUUGUUAAAGAAACUUUCCGUUUGCAUCCACCUGUUCCUUUUCUUCUCCCACGGGAAGCGGAAACGGAUGUUGAGAUUUUUGGAUACUUUGUUCCUAAAGAUGCUCAGGUUUUGGUGAAUGUGUGGGCCAUAGGACGAGAUCCAGGGGUGUGGGAGAACCCGACCCGGUUCGAGCCAGAGAGGUUUUUGGGGAAAGAAAUUGAUGUGAAAGGUAAAAAUUAUGAGUUAACACCGUUUGGAGCUGGACGAAGAAUUUGUCCGGGACUGCCUUUGGCCGUGAAGAUGGUAUCUCUUAUGCUUCUUUCUCUUCUUUAUUCCUUUGACUGGAAGCUUCAAAAUGCUGUCGACAUGGAUGAAACCUUUGGUAUUACCUUGCACAAGGCCAACCCGUUACAUGCGGUUCCGGUUAGAAGAAUUCGCCACUAGUUAAAACAUUUGUAAGACUAUUUAUAGUCUCCCUUUACAUUUUCUUUAAAAAUAAAAUGGUUUUAAUUCUAAUGUAUAUUCAUAUAAUAUAUGAGUGUUGCUGCUUCCUUUAAAAAAACUCAGCAUAAUGCUUUCAUUUGUUAAUUGUUUGAGUACAAACUUGGCUUUCGGGAAAGCAGCUGUUUACACUCUACAGUUUUUGUGUAUGUUAGUCAGGGGCGGUUUUGAGCACAGCGAAUUGAAACAUCGGUUUAGGGUCCCCAAAUUUUUUUAUUAAUUUUACAUAGAAAAAGGUUUCCAAAUUUGUAAAAAAAAAGUGUUUUUAGAAAACCCUCAUUAAAUUGUUUGACUCUUAACAUUUAGGGACGUCCCUAGAUCGUUGUCGUAUUAUGUUGUUAUAUAUCAUAAGCCUUUUAAUUGAAAAAUAAUUUGAAGUCAAAGAAAUAUAACUGAAAACUAUCCGAAGUCAAAUAUAAAAUUGAAAUAAAUCAUGUUGUGGAUUUAUAUUAUACAAACUAUAAUUUGAAGCUCCGAACGGCGUAGUCAACUUAGAGUCUUACCUAAGCGUAUCCACUUAAUCUUUUAUGCCGUCCGAAACAAGGAAGAUGUUAACUAAAUGAGAUUCAACUAAUGAGUUUUACAAUACGCGUGGAUGUUCAUAGUUUUCGGCGAAGCAAGUGAAGCUACAGUAUUACUGUUGAGAAAUAUACAUUCCACAUUAUUUGACAAAAUAAUAGUUCUCAAAUCCUUUAAUUUUAGUAGUUCUGCAGUAAACAAGAAUCAAAGGUUUUGGCAAUGAGAAAAACCUUUGCAAAAGAAGUAAACUGGCCAACAUAGAGAGCAAAUAUCAUUCCACAAAGGUUCAGAAUAGUGAAUGUGUCCAAUUAAAAACUUUUAAGACAAUAGUUUAAAGGAAAUAAAAAAGAAGUUUAAAGGAUGAGCAGACAACAGUUCUGAAACUUCAGUAGGUGGCUGG
Long non-coding RNA from Brassica napus (rape), 2541 nucleotides. RefSeq lists it as uncharacterized. The record is from RefSeq and is a predicted model, not a curated record. The transcript is spliced from 2 exons. NCBI's taxonomy places the organism in Eukaryota, Viridiplantae, Streptophyta, Magnoliopsida, Brassicales, Brassicaceae.